UGGCUCAGCAGUUAAGAGCACUGGCAUUCUUCCAGAGGAUCUGGGUUCAAUUCCCAG
Molecule: transfer RNA, 57 nt
Filed under: Neotoma lepida (desert woodrat)
Lineage: Eukaryota; Metazoa; Chordata; Mammalia; Rodentia; Cricetidae
Rfam family: tRNA
About the family: Transfer RNA (tRNA) molecules are approximately 80 nucleotides in length. Their secondary structure includes four short double-helical elements and three loops (D, anti-codon, and T loops).
Source: Rfam by way of RNAcentral